RNAcentral lists this ribosomal RNA (397 nucleotides) under uncultured bacterium. Its description in RNAcentral is "bacterial SSU rRNA". It matches the Rfam family "Bacterial small subunit ribosomal RNA", at positions 361 to 775 of the family's 1533-position model. The record is from RNAcentral.
AUAUUGGACAAUGGGCGCAAGCCUGAUCCAGCCAUGCCGCGUGAGUGAUGAAGGCCCUAGGGUUGUAAAGCUCUUUCACCGGUGAAGAUAAUGACGGUAACCGGAGAAGAAGCCCCGGCUAACUUCGUGCCGGCAGCCGCGGUAAUACGAAGGGGGCUAGCGUUGUUCGGAUUUACUGGGCGUAAAGCGCACGUAGGCGGACUUUUAAGUCAGGGGUGAAAUCCCGGGGCUCAACCCCGGAACUGCCUUUGAUACUGGAAGUCUUGAGUAUGGAAGAGGUAAGUGGAAUUGCGAGUGUAGAGGUGUAAUUCGUAGAUAUUCGCAGGAACACCAGUGGCGAAGGCGGCUUACUGGUCCAUUCCUGACGCUGAGGUGCGAAAGCGUGGGGAGCAAACAG